RNAcentral lists this long non-coding RNA (1017 nucleotides) under Ursus americanus (American black bear). RNAcentral's name for it is "lncRNA (ENSUAMG00000018677.1)". The record is from RNAcentral. Lineage: Eukaryota; Metazoa; Chordata; Mammalia; Carnivora; Ursidae.
UUCGUCUUUCACAUUUUGCCAAAAUAGUGUUUCAUAAAAUCUCUCCAUUCAACUUGCCUCACCAGCCUGAAAAUUAUACUCACUCACUCAUCCAUCCAUCAGUCCUCCAUCCACCCCACAUCUGUCCAUUUGUCUACCCAUCCAUUGACCAACUGUCCAUCUGUCUUUCCACAGAAGGUUUGUUCCAGGGGCUGGGGCAUCAGAGAUGGCAGAAGCUGGGUUCCACUGACCCCUUGCCUUUCCCUCUUCCUCCUCCUUCCCCUGGACCCCUUCUGGAGCUAGGCUGUGGCAGCAAGAGUCCACGGGGAGAGCGGAGGGAGCCAGACUCACUGGGAGGCAGCUUAGCUGUGCUGGGCCUCCUGGGGCCAGCACCCUUAUUCUGCCUGUCCUCACUGCGAGCCCGAGAUGGAGGGCUCUCGCUCCCCACUCUUCCGGCGUGGGCAAGGGGCACCGUGGGGACUGGACCUUCCUCAGCCUGCCACUGCCUCUCACCCCUUCCCCCACACAGCAGCAGAAGGAAAGUCCGUGAGACCGCGGACAGACGCCCACACUCAGGGCAGUUAUGGCCACGGACUCCAGAGUCAGACAGGCUGGGUUCAAAGCAAGUGCUUUCGUCUCUCCGACCCUGUUUUCUCACCUGUAAGAGAGUGACAGGAAGGCUGUACCUCGGAGAGCUGCGGGAGUGAGGUGCCCAGGGCAGCCGCACAUCGAGUGCUCAUUAAGCACGCUCUUCACUCGCCUACUCAUCCGUCCAGGGGCCCAUGCGCGAUGCCCUGUAGACUCCCAGCAGCGACGGGCUCCCUCGUCCAUACACCCUCCCAGCCUCUGCUCCUGGGCCGAGGCUCACCCUUGCCACCCGCCCUGCCAGGUCUGCCUUGGCCCAUGGAGCUGGUAGAGGCGUUGAUCGCCAUCAUGAAGCAACACGAGAGGAUCCUUGACAUACAGCUGUGUGCCUGCUCCCUGCUGCUGCGCAGCCUGGGUCAAGGUGGGUGCGGAGCUUACUCUGGCACCUUGUCC